UACGGAGGAUGCGAGCGUUAUCCGGAUUUAUUGGGUUUAAAGGGUGCGUAGGCGGAUCGUUAAGUCAGUGGUCAAAUUGAGGGGCUCAACCCCUUCCCGCCAUUGAAACUGGCGAUCUUGAGUGGAAGAGAAGUAUGCGGAAUGCGUGGUGUAGCGGUGAAAUGCAUAGAUAUCACGCAGAACCCCGAUUGCGAAGGCAGCAUGCCGGCUUCCUACUGACGCUGAAGCACGAAAGCGUGGGGAUCAAACAGG
RNAcentral lists this ribosomal RNA (252 nucleotides) under uncultured bacterium. Its description in RNAcentral is "partial 16S ribosomal RNA". It matches the Rfam family "Bacterial small subunit ribosomal RNA", at positions 524 to 776 of the family's 1533-position model. The record is from RNAcentral.